AUUAUCUUUGUUUCAAAUACUAAGUGACUUUUUAUCUAAAAAAAUAUGAAAUCGAUAUCAUUUAAUUAAUUUAAACUAUUAAAGUAUAUUGCGACGCCAUUACUUUGUCUUUAUUCAGUACUGAAGCAUAUAGGACAACAACGCAAAAUAUUCAAUUUAUCAUCGAAGUUAUAACAAAUCAAAGUUAAUCCCAUGCAUGAGGGAAAAUGAAUAAUUUAAUUAUUAAAUCAAUAAUAACUCUGGUAAUAUUCUUCGACAUUUCGUUCCUCGAUUUUCACUCGGUAAAAAUUUCCAUAAUGAAUUUAUUAUUUUUAUCAAUUGAUUAUUUAAUUAUGUGGUAAUUUAAAAAUAUAUAGAUUGAUAAACGUUCAUCGUCAACUAAUGGCGUCAUAAUUGGACCAGAUACUCCAGUUUACUUAGACUAGUUCAGACUUUAGACAGAUACUAGUUCAACGUUAUGUAAACAAGUUUGAAGCAUCCCCUUCCUACAACUACUAUUAUAAUCCGGAAAAAAAUCAAACGACACAUUUUUUCCGAGAGUAUUGGUAAUUAUUGAUUGGAAUAAUGGAAUUGGAAAUAAAACGCAAGAGCAAAAUAUUCUUAAUGAAGUAUUGGCGAAAUGGAAUAAAGUCGAUAAAUAUUUUGAACAACUUGAUAAUCCCAAAAUAAAAUUGGAUAUUGCUGGAGUCGUCAUACCGACACGUCAAAAUGAACACGUCAAGGAACGUUGAAGACUGUAGAUAUGACUGUCAAAAAACGAAUAAUUUUGGUGCUAAAAUUGGUUCCAAUAAUCGUCCACUAGGAAGAGUCAUAUGAAAUAAUUAUGUUUUUCCGAAAAGCGCAGCCUACAUUAUCGCUUCAAUACUGGGAGUUAACAGCGAUAGAGAAUUAGGAUGUGAAAGUGGUCAUAUAGUGGACGCUAGCCAAGCUCGUGAUGAUGAAACUAGGUCCGAGUGUUCUAAAAGAGCUUUUAGAUCGAUGGUCAACAACAACAAAUACACUUGUUUACAUCAAAUAAUUGAUGAUGAAGACGAUUACGAUUUGUAAUAUGUAAUUCAAACUUUUAAAUAAAAUUUAGUACUUUAAGCAAAAUUAUAUAA
Molecule: long non-coding RNA, 1100 nt
Organism: Microplitis demolitor
Lineage: Eukaryota; Metazoa; Arthropoda; Insecta; Hymenoptera; Braconidae
Exons: 7
Source: RefSeq, a predicted model, not a curated record